CUUUGCUUCUGUUUGGCAGUGAGGAAACAGUACCUAGUAGAGUAAAGGAAUAGUUUGGUAAAACUACAAGAAGCAAGGUAAACUAAGAGACUUUAAACACCAACAGAGAAGCAGAAUCUCCUCUUCUGCAGAAGUUGGCGCGGUCAGCAAAGGU
Molecule: long non-coding RNA, 154 nt
Filed under: Scleropages formosus (Asian bonytongue)
Lineage: Eukaryota; Metazoa; Chordata; Actinopteri; Osteoglossiformes; Osteoglossidae
Description: lncRNA (ENSSFOG00015025978.1)
Source: RNAcentral